CGGGGUGCAGCAGGCGCGAAAACUUUACAAUGCUGGAAACAGCGAUAAGGGGACCUCGAGUGCCAGGUUACAAAUCUGGCUGUCGUGAUGCCUAAAAAGCAUUGCAUAGCAAGGGCCGGGCAAGACCGGUGCCAGCCGCCGCGGUAACACCGGCGGCUCGAGUGGUAACCGUUAUUAUUGGGUCUAAAGGGUCUGUAGCCGGCCGGAUAAGUCUCUUGAGAAAUCCAGCAGCUCAACUGUUGGGCUUUCAGGAGAUACUGUCUGGCUCGAGGCCGGGAGAGGUGAGAGGUACUUCAGGGGUAGGGGUGAAAUCUUGUAAUCCUUGAAGGACCACCAGUGGCGAAGGCGUCUCACCAGAACGGACCUGACGGCAAGGGACGAAAGCUAGGGGCACGAACCGGAUUAGAUACCCGGGUAGUCCUAGCCGUAAACGAUACUCGCUAGGUGUCGGCCACGGUGCGACCGUUGUCGGUGCCGUAGGGAAGCCGUGAAGCGAGCCACCUGGGAAGUACGGCCGCAAGGCUGAAACUUAAAGGAAUUGGCGGGGGAGCAC
This 553-nucleotide ribosomal RNA is filed under the name uncultured archaeon. Its description in RNAcentral is "bacterial SSU rRNA". It matches the Rfam family "Archaeal small subunit ribosomal RNA", at positions 326 to 879 of the family's 1478-position model. The record is from RNAcentral.